Molecule: ribosomal RNA, 492 nt
Filed under: uncultured bacterium
Lineage: Bacteria
Description: partial 16S ribosomal RNA
Rfam family: Bacterial small subunit ribosomal RNA
Source: RNAcentral
AGUGAACGCUGGCGGUAGGCCUAACACAUGCAAGUCGAACGGCAGCACAGUAAGAGCUUGCUCUUGCGGGUGGCGAGUGGCGGACGGGUGAGGAAUACAUCGGAAUCUACUUUUUCGUGGGGGAUAACGUAGGGAAACUUACGCUAAUACCGCAUACGACCUACGGGUGAAAGCAGGGGAUCUUCGGACCUUGCGCGAUUGAAUGAGCCGAUGUCGGAUUAGCUAGUUGGCGGGGUAAAGGCCCACCAAGGCGACGAUCCGUAGCUGGUCUGAGAGGAUGAUCAGCCACACUGGAACUGAGACACGGUCCAGACUCCUACGGGAGGCAGCAGUGGGGAAUAUUGGACAAUGGGCGCAAGCCUGAUCCAGCCAUACCGCGUGUGUGAAGAAGGCCUUCGGGUUGUAAAGCCCUUUUGUUGGGAAAGAAAAGCAGCAGGUUAAUACCCCGCUGUUCUGACGGUACCCAAAGAAUAAGCACCGGCUAACUUCGUG